This 508-nucleotide ribosomal RNA is filed under the name Staphylococcus cohnii. RNAcentral's name for it is "bacterial SSU rRNA". It matches the Rfam family "Bacterial small subunit ribosomal RNA", at positions 57 to 550 of the family's 1533-position model. The record is from RNAcentral. Lineage: Bacteria; Bacillati; Bacillota; Bacilli; Caryophanales; Staphylococcaceae.
GCAGUCGAGCGACAGAUAGGAGCUUGCUCCUUUGACGUUAGCGGCGGACGGGUGAGUAACACGUGGGUAACCUACCUAUAAGACUGGAAUAACUCCGGGAAACCGGGGCUAAUGCCGGAUAACAUUUAGAACCGCAUGGUUCUAAAGUGAAAGAUGGUUUUGCUAUCACUUAUAGAUGGACCCGCGCCGUAUUAGCUAGUUGGUAAGGUAACGGCUUACCAAGGCAACGAUACGUAGCCGACCUGAGAGGGUGAUCGGCCACACUGGAACUGAGACACGGUCCAGACUCCUACGGGAGGCAGCAGUAGGGAAUCUUCCGCAAUGGGCGAAAGCCUGACGGAGCAACGCCGCGUGAGUGAUGAAGGUCUUCGGAUCGUAAAACUCUGUUAUUAGGGAAGAACAAAUGUGUAAGUAACUGUGCACGUCUUGACGGUACCUAAUCAGAAAGCCACGGCUAACUACGUGCCAGCAGCCGCGGUAAUACGUAGGUGGCAAGCGUUAUCCGGAA